This 1183-nucleotide ribosomal RNA is filed under the name uncultured organism. RNAcentral's name for it is "bacterial SSU rRNA". It matches the Rfam family "Bacterial small subunit ribosomal RNA", at positions 199 to 1411 of the family's 1533-position model. The record is from RNAcentral.
GAGUAAGGAUUUCGGUCGCUUUGGGAGGAGCUCGCUUACUAUCAGCUUGUUGGUAGGGUAAUGGCCUACCAAGGCUAUGACGGUUAGGGGGUGUGAGAGCAUGACCCCCAGCAUUGGCACUGAAACACUGGCCAAACACCUACGGGUGGCUGCAGUCGAGAAUCUUCCACAAUGGGGGAAACCCUGAUGGAGCGAUGCUGCGUGCGGGAUGAAGGCCUUCGGGUUGUAAACCGCUUUUGUAGGGGACGAAAUUUUUGACGGUACCCUUUCGAAUAAGAGGUUGCUAACUCUGUGCCAGCAGCAGCGGUAAUACAGAGACCUCAAGCGUUAUCCGGAUUUACUGGGCGUAAAGCGUCUGUAGGGGGUUUAUUAAGUUCCAAGUAAAAUUUCAAGGCUCAACUUUGAAUUCGCUUGGAAAACUAAUAAACUGGAGUCUAGCAGAGGUGCAUGGAACUUGUGGUGUAGGAGUGAAAUCCGUUGAUAUCACAAGGAACACCAAAGGCGAAGGCAUUUGCACUGGGCUAGCACUGACCCUGAGAGACGAAAGCGUGGGGAGCAAAACGGAUUAGAUACCCGUGUAGUCCACGCCCUAAACGAUGAAUGCUAAAUGUUCGGGGAUUCGACCCCCUGGGUGUUACAGCUAACGCGUUAAGCAUUCCGCCUGGGAAGUACGGCCGCAAGGCUAAAACUCAAAGGAAUAGACGGGGAUCCGCACAAGCGGUGGAGCGUCUGGUUUAAUUCGACAGUAAGCGUGGUACCUCACCAGGGUUUGACAUCCCUUGACAGCCUUGGAAACAAGGUUUCCUUCGGGCAAGGUGACAGGUGCUGCAUGGUCGUCGUCAGUUCGUGCCGUGAGGUGUUCCGUUAAGUCGGGAAACGAACGAAACCCCUAUUGCAUGUUACAAUUUCUCAUGCAAGACUGCCCGGAUAUACUGGGAGGAAGGUGGGGAUGACGUCAGAUCUGCAUGGUCCUUAUACCCUGGGCGACACAGGCGCUACAAUGGCAGAGACAAAGGGUUGCAAAACCGCAAGGUGAAGCUAAUCCCAAAAACUUUGUCUAAGUUCGGAUUGAAGGCUGCAAUUCGCCUUCAUGAAGCUGGAAUCGCUAGUAAUCGUGAAUCAGCCACGUCACGGUGAAUAUGUUCCCGGAUCUUGUACUCACCGCCCGUCACACCAAGAGAGU